Molecule: long non-coding RNA, 843 nt
Organism: Pyrus x bretschneideri (Chinese white pear)
Lineage: Eukaryota; Viridiplantae; Streptophyta; Magnoliopsida; Rosales; Rosaceae
Exons: 2
Source: RefSeq, a predicted model, not a curated record
CAUCAAAUCGGCCCAAUAAGACUAGCUCAAGGAAUAUAAUUUACCAAGCUUCCAAUUUUAACCCUGACGUCAAGUCUUGCCGUUUAUUUGGUCCGUUACGCUUCAGAUGGAGAGGGGAAGGACUGUAGAUCUCUAUUCAUUUCUCACCCAUCAUCUGACCUUCUUCUCCGUCAUAUCAAUGGGCUGCCUUUUUACUUCACGGGAGGCACGAAGAGAUAUGUGCUCCUCGAUGAUCUCUUUGUCGCGUUGCACAUGACUUGUACAAUAUGCUUCACAUCCUCCAAGCUGUCAACGAAGUUCCUUGGCAAAAACUGCAGCAGCCGUGAGUACUGGCUCGACGGCCGAGCGAUUUCAAACUCGAUGGUAAAGUGCAGGUCCACGAAGUACCAGCUCUGCCACAAGGAGGAGCCGGAUUGGACGGGAACGACGUUGAUGAACUCGUAGCUCCUGGAGGUGAUUUUGCCGAAGGAGGAGCCGGAUUUGACGGCAACGACGUUCAGACGCUGACCUGCAUCUUCUAAGCGGCGACACUUACACACCCAGCAUUUCUCCCCAAAACCCAGUCUCCCAGCUCCAUUCAAGUGUUCCCUAGCUGAAGCAGCAGCAACUGAUACUUUCCCCCCAAAUGAUCAGUAACAAUUAGAGGACGAUCCACCGGGUGCCAUUGGAUACACCAUAGCCCUACAAUUGCAAGUUUCUUUGGAAUUUUACCAUCUCCUUCGUCCCCAAUAUGGAUUCGUAGGUCAUCCCCUUCCUCUAGAAGAUUAUAAAUCCACUGUGGAUAGUAAAUUUCAUUUAUGGUGUUCUCUAUGGUUGAACCAAUAUUCUUCCUUCCUCCUACCA